Molecule: transfer RNA, 70 nt
Filed under: Dipodomys ordii (Ord's kangaroo rat)
Lineage: Eukaryota; Metazoa; Chordata; Mammalia; Rodentia; Heteromyidae
Rfam family: tRNA
About the family: Transfer RNA (tRNA) molecules are approximately 80 nucleotides in length. Their secondary structure includes four short double-helical elements and three loops (D, anti-codon, and T loops).
Source: Rfam by way of RNAcentral
GGUAAGGUGGCUCAGUGGUAGAGUGCUUGCCUUGCAUGCAUGAGGCCCCGGGUUCGAUUCCUCAGUACCA